UGCUAGUCGCACGGGUUAGACCCGUGGCGGAAAGCUCAGUAACACGUGGCCAAACUACCCUGUGGACGAGGACAACCUCGGGAAACUGAGGCUAAUCCUCGAUACGGCUUCCCACCUGGAGUGGGGGAAGCCGGAAAUGCCCCGGCGCCACAGGAUGUGGCUGCGGCCGAUUAGGUAGACGGUGGGGUAACGGCCCACCGUGCCAGUAAUCGGUACGGGUGAUGAGAGUCAGCGCCCGGAGACGGUAUCUGAGACAAGAUACCGGGCCCUACGGGGCGCAGCAGGCGCGCAACCUUUACACUGCACGCGAGUGCGAUAGGGGGACUCCGAGUGCGAGGGCAUAUAGUCCUCGCUUUUCUGGACCGUAAGGAGGUUCAAGAAUAAGGGCUGGGCAAGACCGGUGCCAGCUGCCGCGGUAAUACCGGCAGCCCGAGUGAUGGCCGCGAUUAUUGGGCCUAAAGCGUUCGUAGCCUGCCGGACAAGUCCGUUGGGAAAUCCACGCGCUCAACGCGUGGGCGUCCAGCGGAAACUGUCCGGCUUGGGGCCGGAAGACUCGAGGGGUACGUCCGGGGUAGGAGUGAAAUCCCGUAAUCCUGGACGGACCGCCGGUAGCGAAAGCGCCUCGAGAGGACGGACCCGACGGUGAGGAACGAAAGCCAGGGUCUCGAACCGGAUUAGAUACCCGGGUAGUCCUGGCCGUAAACGAUGCUCGCUAGG
RNAcentral lists this ribosomal RNA (717 nucleotides) under uncultured archaeon. Its description in RNAcentral is "bacterial SSU rRNA". It matches the Rfam family "Archaeal small subunit ribosomal RNA", at positions 52 to 771 of the family's 1478-position model. The record is from RNAcentral.